RNAcentral lists this ribosomal RNA (1885 nucleotides) under Nocardioides marmotae. RNAcentral's name for it is "partial 23S ribosomal RNA". It matches the Rfam family "Bacterial large subunit ribosomal RNA", at positions 1 to 1697 of the family's 2925-position model. RNAcentral also lists the same sequence under 1 other name. Lineage: Bacteria; Bacillati; Actinomycetota; Actinomycetes; Propionibacteriales; Nocardioidaceae. The record is from RNAcentral.
GACAAGCUAUGAAGGGCACAUGGUGGAUGCCUUGGCAUCAAGAGCCGAUGAAGGACGUAGGAGCCUGCGAUAAGCCCUGGGGAGUUGGCAACCGAGCGUUGAUCCGGGGAUGUCCGAAUGGGGGAACCCAGCUGGAGUCAUGUCCAGUUACCUGCACCUGAAUAUAUAGGGUGUGUGGAGGGAACGCCGGGAAGUGAAACAUCUCAGUACCGGCAGGAAGAGAAAACAAAAGUGAUUCCGAGAGUAGUGGCGAGCGAAAUCGGAAGAGGCUAAACCUUAUGCGUGUGAUACCCGGCAGGGGUUGCGCAUGAGGGGUCGUGGGACUGUCUUGUUGAUUCUGCCGGAUCGACACAGAGUAAGAAAACGUUCGUGAAGUCGAAGUCUGUUGGAAAGCAGCGCCGUAGAGGGUGAUAGCCCCGUAUGCGUAAGCGUUCGUCUCUGGGACGGUAUCCCAAGUAACACGGAACCCCUGAAAUUCCGUGUGAAUCUGGCGGGACCACCCGUUAAGCCUAAAUACUCCUUGAUGACCGAUAGCGGACAAGUACCGUGAGGGAAAGGUGAAAAGUACCCCUGGCGGGGAGUGAAAUAGUACCUGAAACCGUGUGCCUACAAUCCGUCAGAGCCCGGCUGCCCCUUGUGGGUGUUGGGGUGAUGGCGUGCCUUUUGAAGAAUGAGCCUGCGAGUUUGCGUUGUGUUGCGAGGUUAACCCGUGUGGGGAAGCCGUAGCGAAAGCGAGUCCUAAUAGGGCGGUUGAGUAGCACGAUCAAGACCCGAAGCGAAGUGAUCUAUCCAUGGGCAGGUUGAAGCGCGGGUAAGACCGCGUGGAGGACCGAACCCACUUAGGUUGAAAACUGAGGGGAUGACCUGUGGAUAGGGGUGAAAGGCCAAUCAAACUUCGUGAUAGCUGGUUCUCCCCGAAAUGCAUUUAGGUGCAGCGUCGCGUGUUUCUUGCCGGAGGUAGAGCACUGGAUAGCCGAUGGGCCCUACAAGGUUACUGACGUUAGCCAAACUCCGAAUGCCGGUAAGUGAGAGCGCGGCAGUGAGACUGCGGGGGAUAAGCUCCGUAGUCGAGAGGGAAACAGCCCAGACCAUCAGCUAAGGCCCCUAAGCGGUGACUAAGUGGAAAAGGAUGUGGAGUCGCAUUGACAACCAGGAGGUUGGCUUGGAAGCAGCCACCCUUGAAAGAGUGCGUAAUAGCUCACUGGUCAAGUGAUUCCGCGCCGACAAUGUAGCGGGGCUCAAGUCAUCCGCCGAAGCUAUGGCAUUCACACAAUAACUAAGCUCUUGUGGUUCAGGUGUGUGGAUGGGUAGGGGAGCGUCGUGUCGGGAGUGAAGCUCCGGGGUGACCCAGGGGUGGAUCCGACACGAGUGAGAAUGCAGGCAUGAGUAGCGAAUCACGUGUGAGAAACACGUGCGCCGAAUGAUCAAGGGUUCCAGGGUCAAGCUAAUCUGCCCUGGGUAAGUCGGGACCUAAGGCGAGGCCGACAGGCGUAGUCGAUGGACAACGGGUUGAUAUUCCCGUACCGGCAAAGUAGCGCCCAUGACGAACCUGGUGAUGCUAACCACCCGAAACCACGUUUACUGAACCCUUCGGGGGGAUGGGAUGUGGCGGAGCGUGGGACCCGAGCUGGUAGUAGUCAAGCGAUGGGGUGACGCAGGAAGGUAGUCCAACCACGGCGAUGGUUGUCCGUGGCCAAGGAUGUAGGACGUCGGGUAGGCAAAUCCGUCCGGCUGUCUUUGAUGACGAGUCUGAGAUCUGAUGGGGACCCGUAUGGGGAAGUGGAUGAUCCUAUGCUGUCGAGAAAAACCUCUAGCGAGCUAUGCGCCGCCCGUACCCCAAACCGACUCAGGUGAUCAGGUAGAGAAUACCAAGGCGAUCGAGCGA